This 445-nucleotide ribosomal RNA is filed under the name uncultured bacterium. RNAcentral describes it as "bacterial SSU rRNA". It matches the Rfam family "Bacterial small subunit ribosomal RNA", at positions 354 to 796 of the family's 1533-position model. The record is from RNAcentral.
GUAAGGAAUAUUGGUCAAUGGGGGCAACCCUGAACCAGCCAUGCCGCGUGCAGGAAGACGGCCCUACGGGUUGUAAACUGCUUUUAUACGGGAAUAAACCUCUCUACGUGUAGGGAGUUGAAUGUACUGUAAGAAUAAGGAUCGGCUAACUCCGUGCCAGCAGCCGCGGUAAUACGGAGGAUCCAAGCGUUAUCCGGAUUUAUUGGGUUUAAAGGGUGCGUAGGCGGCCUAUUAAGUCAGGGGUGAAAGACGGUGGCUCAACCAUCGCAGUGCCCUUGAUACUGAUGGGCUUGAUUACACUUGAGGUAGGCGGAAUGUGACAAGUAGCGGUGAAAUGCAUAGAUAUGUCACAGAACACCAAUUGCGAAGGCAGCUUACUAAGGUGUUAAUGACGCUGAGGCACGAAAGCGUGGGGAUCAAACAGGAUUAGAUACCCUUGUAGUCC